GAGAAGAAGACGAAGAAGAAGAAGACGGGGCAGGAGAAGAAGCAGCAGCAGCAGCAGCGUAUGUUCCGGGUUUGCCGCUGGACCGGGAUGGGGGAAACUGCUGCUCAGUUGUUGUCAAGGCUGGAUGGUCGACGACGUCUGAGCGAAAUGGAACCUCGUCUCUUCUCAGACGAUGCAGGACCGGGGCAUGGUGAGGUGGUUGAGCUCAGGGGUUUGGAGGGAACAGGGAAGACGGAGUUGCUGUACCACCUUCUGUGUCAAUGUGUGUUGCCGGUGGAGGUUGGUGGUCUGUGUGUGGAAGUUGUGUUUGUGGACACAGACUUCAGUCUUGACAUGUUGCGUCUGGUCACCAUCCUGGAGAACCGACUGGAGGCUGGUCUCUCUGUCUCCAGAGCUGAGGGAGCUGUCAGUCCAGUGGAGGAGGCUCUGCGUUGCUGCCUGUCUCGCCUCUUCGUUGUCCACUGUACUUCCUCCUCUCAGCUGCUCCUCACCCUGCACUACCUGGAAACUUCUGUCUGCUUCCGGCCAGGCGUAUCACUGCUGCUCAUUGACAGCAUCUCAGCCUUCUAUUGGUUGGACCGCUGUGGGGGCGGGGAGAGCCUGGCCAAACAAGAAGAGAAGCUAAGCAAGUGUUCAGCGCUCCUAGCAAGACUGCUCAGGGAUUACAGGAUCUCUGUUGUGGCCUCCUCUCAUGUCAUCAGGAGGAGCAGCAGGCAUUCCUCCUCCUCAGGGAUGGACCAGCCAUUUCUGUGUCGCCCAUGGCAACAACUGGUCACCCACAGACUGUGCUGUUCCACAGCACAGUCUGGAUCCAACAUGGCCGCCACAGCAGGCAGCAGACGGCAGGUCUUCACAGUUCACUGUUGCUCCUCCUCCUCUUCAUCCAGCAGGAGCAGCUCCUUUCAUGUGACAGAUGCAGGAGUGGAGUUUAUCUAAAGACGUUCGACUCCUUGAACCACAUCCUCCAACUGUCAACUAGCAGUGCAGCCACUGCCUUCGACACUACACACAGUUCUGUGUGUGAGGAGGAGGUGUGAGAGGUGAUUAGGUGUGGCCUGGUGCAUUGUGUUUAAAAAGGUUUCCAUGUUCAGCAGGAAUAUGAAAGAAAAAUCUUGAUUUAUUAUCACCCAAGAUUUUAGCUUUUCGCCAACAAAACAUCUGCGAUGAUGUCAUCGUUGUGAGAUUGUUGGUCUUGUUCAAUGCGCAACAUUCUACUUCCUGAUGGGAUGAUUUUGCUUGCCUUUGUUUAGAAAGGUAUGUUUAAUAAAAAUAUUGUUUCUGUCAAAGUAAAAACCAGUCAGUGACAAAAGACAGUCUGUUAUUUGAUGUGUCGUCUAUGUUAUGUGGUUAAUAAUAGUCUCACACACACAAACACACCAGGUCCAUCAUAGAACGCCAAGCAGCCAGUAAAUAUACAGCUGGUAAGAGUUAAACAUGGCGUGUAAGACUGGGGGUGCCACCCCUGACCUUCUGUAUGGAGUUGACAUGUUCUCCCCUUGUUCCUUGUUCCCCUGGUUCCCCCCCACGGGCCAAACGCACGUCAACUCAGAUGGAUGAAACGUCCAUAGGUGUGCAAACUGCAUGUCUGUGUGAUGGACACAAGCCAGCAAAGUUACCUUUCUUUACAUGUAUGUUAAAGGACAUGUCUUUACAACCUGGGUCUUCUUAUCGUGGUGUUUUCCAUCAUGCAUAUCAGUUAUGAUGUCAUUUUACUCCCCAGCUUCAUUCAGCAGAUUUUGGACAUGGACCACCGCUGGACUCGGCUUUACAGCGGGACAAGUGAACAGGAGUCUUUAAACAACAGCGCCCCCUAGUGUGUCAGUCAGCCUCUGUCCAUGACUGUCCAUCAUCUAUGACUUCUCUAUGGCGCUGGCCAGCUAGUUUAUGGAUGUUACUACUACCUACGGCACCGCUGUAAAGCUGAGUCCAGCGGUGGUCCAUGUCCAACAUCUACUGAAUGAAGCUGGGUUGACGGCAUGGCAAGAGAGGAGAGAAUGAAGCCGUCUCACAUGAUGGAUAGCACCAUCCAGAUGAUGUACUAGAUGGUGAAUAGAGCAUCACAGAGAUGCUUAAUGGUGGAUAUGUUUUAUAUUUCUGCAGAAGACAUUGGACAUGGGAGGAAUGAGAAGGGCUGUGACUGACAGGGCUGCUCUGUCCUCUGGUGACUGACUUUUGGUUAAAUUGACAUUUUACAACACAUGGUGGAGACAGUCAUUUCUCUGCAUGCAUUUGAACACCACUAGGAUGUUUUGUUGGGUUAGAGUUGGGGAUGAGAUUGUGCGGUUGCCUUCCAGAAUUUCAACCUCAAUAGAUAUAAAGAAGUACAAUAUGGUAUCCUAUGUGAUAUCUAUAUAUCACCGUUUAUUUAUAGUAAGUAUAAAGCAGGGAUUUCACCAAAUUGUCCCAAAUGUAAAACUCGUGUGGAGACUAGACUGCAUUGCUUGUGGGAAUGCAGUAAAAUUCAGUUAUUCGGGAGGGCAGUAUGUGCAACAUCAGCACAGCAGUAGGUGAACAGGUGUCAGCAAACCCACUUCUAUGUCUGCUUGGACAUGUCCCUGACUCUCUUAACCAGUAUGAGGAGGUGGUUCAGUCGCUUCUAAUGCUGGCAAGGAAAGCCAUCAUGGUGAAGUGGGUCAGGGAUGACCCUCGUUCUACUUCCAUGUGGAACUCUGUUCUCCGAGGUCGUGACUCUGGAAGAAUUAGGACACUACAUUGAUGGAAGGUUUCAUCUUUUUCUGCAGAACUGAAGAAACCGUUGGAAUCUCUGGGAGUUAAAUAUAAUUUGGACCUAAGUGGGUACUAACUGUGGACAAAUGAUUGAAUUGGGGACAUUGGGAAUGAAUGGGAUCCAUGUUUACAAUAAUUACUUAAUUCCACUAUAUUGUGUCUCUUAUUUAAGUGCUGUGCCUCAUUUUAUAUUAAUUGCUCCCCCCCUUCUUUUUGAGAACCAGUCCUGUAACAUUAUGUUUUGUAUGUUUGGGUUUUUUUUAAGAAAAUUUGAAUUAAAAAUAAUUAAAUUAUAGAAAUACAUAUAAAUGACUGUUAAUUCUUUUUCAGCUGGGCCAUAAUAUGGA
RNA transcript from Lampris incognitus (smalleye Pacific opah), 3074 nucleotides. It is a transcript of the gene named X-ray repair complementing defective repair in Chinese hamster cells 2, with no coding region annotated. The record is from RefSeq and is a predicted model, not a curated record. Lineage: Eukaryota; Metazoa; Chordata; Actinopteri; Lampriformes; Lampridae. The transcript is spliced from 8 exons.